Molecule: long non-coding RNA, 764 nt
Organism: Salvia splendens (bonfire salvia)
Lineage: Eukaryota; Viridiplantae; Streptophyta; Magnoliopsida; Lamiales; Lamiaceae
Exons: 2
Source: RefSeq, a predicted model, not a curated record
CUCUCUAUCUGCUCAACAUCUCUUUCUAACUCUCUCUCUUUCUCUCUUUCUCUCUCUUUCUUUUUCACCUAAUAAGACAUAACAUCGGAUUUCUUCACGAUCGAAGGUCCAAACAAUGUCCGAUCGUCCCAAACUUUUAACCAAAGGUAGAUGACUCAUAAAGCAUCAUUCCUACCGUAGGAGAUCAAACUUUAAUGGUUAGAUCUUCUGUUAUUAAGCUUUUAAGUGGCUGCUGUUUCAACAGUAACAACGUCGGUUUUGUACACGAUCGGAGGUUCAAAAAUCGUCCGAUCGUUCUGAAAUUUUAAAGUAAGAGGUAGAAUUAAGGGGAGUGUUUGUUGGUGGAGCUCCCGGGAUGGUGUAGGAUUUCGUAAAAAAAACAAAGUGUUGGUACUAUUCCUCCCUUCCCCACUUCUUAUUCUUUUGCCCAUUAGGUAGAUGUGCAUAUGUGAUGACUUCAGGUCGUUUUCAGUGAAUAGUGCCGCACUAUUCAUAUGUUGACUAUGGUUAAAGAUGGUAAGAGUUGUUUUUGUUACUGUAUUAUUAUUGCACUGUCGUUUCUGACUUGUCCCAUCAUUUGUAGGAAGUUGGGGUUUCCUGAAGAUAGAAUACUAGCUUUGCAAAGAAGCCUUAGCUCAUUUUUGUAACAUCAUAAAUUAAAUACAAUUAGUACAUUUCUCAUUUGAAGAGAAAUGACUAUAUUUUGUAAAUGGACAUUUAAUAUCCAUCUGAUUUAUAAAUUUACAUGUACAAUUAUUUUAUCA